GGUGGCUCAGUGGUAGAGUACUUGCCUUGCAAGCAUGAGGUCCUGGGGUCGAUUCCUUAGCACCA
RNAcentral lists this transfer RNA (65 nucleotides) under Dipodomys ordii (Ord's kangaroo rat). It matches the Rfam family "tRNA". Rfam says of the family: Transfer RNA (tRNA) molecules are approximately 80 nucleotides in length. Their secondary structure includes four short double-helical elements and three loops (D, anti-codon, and T loops). Lineage: Eukaryota; Metazoa; Chordata; Mammalia; Rodentia; Heteromyidae. The record is from Rfam by way of RNAcentral.